RNA transcript from Setaria italica (foxtail millet), 1309 nucleotides. RefSeq lists it as uncharacterized. The transcript has 8 exons. Lineage: Eukaryota; Viridiplantae; Streptophyta; Magnoliopsida; Poales; Poaceae. The record is from RefSeq and is a predicted model, not a curated record.
AGAAAGAACUGCAGAAAUUGGUGACAUAGCUCGGAAUAUUAGGAUAAUAAAAAAGGGGAAAGGCUAUCUCAUUUUAGUAUAUUUCUUCUCCCCUCUUCCCUCUUCUUGUUCUUGGAGUUGGUGGUGUCCCCAGAGCUAAAAAGGCCCCGCCUUUUGGCUCGUUCCCAGACUCACCACCUGCUCCAAGAAAAGCUUCCUGGGAAGAUGGCGCGCGCCGAGAAGGUUGCCGGCGAUGGCUUCUCCGGCGGCGAAGGGCACGUGGAGGUGGAGGUCGGCCUGGGGGCGGACGUCAAGGGGGUGAUUGAGUGCCGGAUAUGUCAGGAGGAGGGGGAAGAGAGCGCCAUGGACUCACCCUGCGCUUGCACUGGCACGCUCAAGUUCGCCCACAGGAAAUGCAUACAGAGAUGGUGCAACAAGAAGGGGAACAUUACAUGUGAAAUCUGCAACCAGGUUUACUCACCAAAUUAUGUCCUCCCUCCACCCAAAUGCUGUUCAGAUGAAAUGGACAUGGAUCUUAGGCAAAACUGGGUUGGAAGAAUCGAUACUCAUGAUUCUCAUUUUUUAGCCAUUGCCAUCGCAGAGCAGCAGCUGCUGCAAGCUGAAUUUGAGGAUUGUGUAUCUGCAAAUUCUAGUGGUGUCACAUGCUGCCGAACCAUUGCUUUAAUUUUGAUGUUCCUUUUACUUGUGCGCCAUGUAAUUGUCAUUGUGAGGGAUAUUAGCAUGCUACAAGAUGUAACAGUGCUGUUCAGUGCAACUCUUCAGUUUGCAGGAUUCUUUCUUCCUUGUUAUGUAAUAGCACGUUCUUGUUAUGCUUUGCAACAUCGGAGACGAAGACAGGUGUAGGGACUUGUCUGAAACCUUGAAGAACAUCAGACGUACCAACUGAAACACCAUCUUGGUACCAGGCUACCAAGUACCCCGAAGAAAGAUGGAAGCUUGCAAAAAAACAGUUACGAUGUUAUACGAGUCCAUCGGUGAAAACAGUUCAGAUUGGAAACAAAAUACUGUUCAGAUUGGAACAAUAGAUUUCAUGUGCAGAUUGUCCAGGAAGGGUACAGCUUUGUGCAUGAGAUAUGUACGCCUUUGUAUUACUAGAGAGGAAGAGGUCAUGUGAUCAAAUGUGGAAAUGCAUAUGACCAAAGCUUUUUUUUUUACAUUCUUUUACCCUCUUUAUUGAGUUAAAGCUCCGGGAAACAACCAGUACUACAUCAACUAAUUUUCAUGAAUCACAGUGCCAGCUACCUGACUGUAAUAGGAACGGGAUACAAGUAUGCCAGAAAUAACACUACAGAAGCUUCUUAUACAAACA